GAUGAACGCUGGCGGCGCGCCUAACACAUGCAAGUCGAACGAUUAAAGCACCUUCGGGUGUGUAUAAAGUGGCGAACGGCUGAGUAACACGUGGGCAACCUGCCCCUCUCAUUGGGAUAGCCACGGGAAACCGUGGAUAAUACCGAAUACUUCGAGACUUCCGCAUGAAAGACUCGAGAAAGCUCCGGCGGAGAGGGAUGGGCCCGCGGCCUGUUAGCUUGUUGGUGGGGUAACGGCCUACCAAGGCAAUGAUGGGUAGCUGGGUUGAGAGACCGACCAGCCAGAUUGGGACUGAGACACGGCCCAGACUCCUACGGGAGGCAGCAGUGGGGAAUCUUGCACAAUGGGCGAAAGCCUGAUGCAGCGACGCCGCGUGCGGGAUGAAGGCCUUCGGGUUGUAAACCGCUUUCAGCAGGGACGAGGCGAAAGUGACGGUACCUGCAGAAGAAGCCCCGGCUAACUACGUGCCAGCAGCCGCGGUAAUACGUAGGGGGCAAGCGUUAUCCGGAUUCAUUGGGCGUAAAGCGCUCGUAGGCGGUCUGUUAGGUCGGGAGUUAAAUCCGGGGGCUCAACCCCCGUUCGCUCCCGAUACCGGCAGACUUGAGUUUGGUAGGGGAAGGUGGAAUUCCUAGUGUAGCGGUGGAAUGCGCAGAUAUUAGGAAGAACACCAGUGGCGAAGGCGGCCUUCUGGGCCAUAACUGACGCUGAGGAGCGAAAGCUAGGGGAGCAAACAGG
Molecule: ribosomal RNA, 735 nt
Filed under: uncultured Atopobium sp.
Lineage: Bacteria; Bacillati; Actinomycetota; Coriobacteriia; Coriobacteriales; Atopobiaceae
Description: bacterial SSU rRNA
Rfam family: Bacterial small subunit ribosomal RNA
Source: RNAcentral